Long non-coding RNA from Capsicum annuum, 3687 nucleotides. RefSeq lists it as uncharacterized. Lineage: Eukaryota; Viridiplantae; Streptophyta; Magnoliopsida; Solanales; Solanaceae. The record is from RefSeq and is a predicted model, not a curated record. The transcript is spliced from 4 exons.
GAUGCCUUCACCUUUAACCAUAGAUAUAAGGUUUUAGUCUUGAAAAUGGAAAAUAAGAUGCUUCCGGUUUAUUGUGCAUGAACAAGUCUGAAUUAGUCGAGCCUGAAACCCAGCGGAAAAAAAAGGAAACAAAACAGGUCGGUACGCUUGAGUUAGUUUAAUAAUCAAAAAGAAACCUAAAGUAAUAAAUCCCUUAGUGGAAUAAUCUCAACAACUUUAUUAUGAUGGAGUGUUUGAUUUUUUUUUUACUGUUGAAAUUCCUGUUUAGCCAUUUACUUUAGCUUCUCUCUGAAUCACCUCGUGUACUAUUUCACACAGCUUCGUCUUGGCAGGUUUGUUGAAAUUUAAAGAUCUUAAGAACUAGUCCGGCUUGACUAGUAAAAGCUACAGACAUGGAAAGAGGAAAUGGAGGAGAAAAAGGGGAAGUGGAAGCAAACAUAUCAUCGAGCUCCCAGGUUAAAAAGUCAGCCCUCAACAUUAAGGAAUAUGUUACAUAAUUGAUGGGAGAAGACAAGUAUGAGGUAGACUACACAGUGGGCGAGAGCAUAAUAAGUUCUGGUCGCGGUUUCAAUCGCUAGAGACUUUAUGUUAGUGGGAACUCAUCAUGAUCAUCUUAAUUAACUGCCUGUUAAUUUAGAGCAUACUUAGGUCUUAGAUCUAUAUCUCCAAACAAGUUUGAGGUACACUGCGGAGAAAUGGAUUCAUCUUAGGUCCAUACCUCCAGGCAAAUCUCUAUUAGUAUAUUACAUUAACUUCUUUCCUACCCGUUGGGGCUUCAAGUGUUGGAUCUAUCAUCACACACUUAUGCCUUCUUCAAGAUAUUUCAGUUCAUUUCCCAUUAAGCACUGUUUUUCCCAUCUGAUUCUUCUUUUAGCAGAUGCUUAUUUUUACAUAGAAAUUGAUGAAUGAUCAAAAUGGAAUUUUGACUGACAAAUUGUUUCUUAUCCUUUGGUUGACAUAUUAUUUUGUUGUUGUUACAGAUCCUUUUUCUUGAAUGCGUUAUAAUUCUUCCUCUAGUUUUGUUUUCUCUUCCUAUCUUAUAUAUGUGUUACAUGAGUUGGGAGUCUUUUGCAAACAAGCUUUCUACCUCCAUGAAAUAGAGUUGAGGUCUGUGUACACUCUAUCCUUCCUAUACCCCACUUGUGUGAUUAUAGAGUAUCUUGUUGUUGUUGCACUAUCCUUUCAGGAUGAAUCUUCUCUUCCUUUUGCCUCACAAAAGUGUCAACAAGAGUGGACUAUUUGUAAUUCUUUACAUUGCCAGUGCCCAAAACAUUAACUCUUUAUAUAUGGUCGUUGAACGUUACUUAUGAUAGUAGUAAAGUCACAACUAUUGUUUGCCACAUUAAAGUAACUAAACUUGUUAAAAUAUCUCUCAAGCACUCUCACACACACAUAUAACUGCCAUUCCAGCAGUUACUGAGCUCGAUAAGAAGAAGGAAAAGAAGAGAGAGGAUGAUCUAAGAUUGAAACUUGUAUGUUAGUUAUGUACAAUGUGAGUUCAUGCCACCUAUUUAUAGACUCACAUGACUAAAAUGUGAUUAUCUAGAAGAUUCGUAACAAAUUCCUAACAACUUAAUCAAGUGGCCAGCUCACUAACCAACUUGACACACCUAACAGACUCGACUAACAAGCAAUGCAAUAGAGUUAACUAACAGUGUUAAUCAACUGUUAACUAAUUAAUAUAACAGAAAGUAUGAAUACUGAAUAUUGAUACUAUAAGUUUUGACACUCCUCCUCAAGCUACAGGGUGCAAAAUGUUGAGCACACCAAGCUUUCUUAGGAGAUGUAAGUGUUGAUCAUGACUCAAGCCCUUUGUGAGGAUAUCUGCAACCUGUUGAUUUAUCUGCACAUACAUGGGUUGAACCAACCCUUCCUUGAUCUUAUCUCUAAUAAAGUGGCAGUCCACCUAAAUAUGUUUGGUCCUCUCAUGGAAUAUGGGGCUAGCAGCUAGCUGAAUAGCUGAAUUGCUAUCAGUAAAGAUGAUAAUAAUUUUAGUUAUAGGGAUCCCUAAUUCUACAAACAGUCCAUCCAACCAUGUUACUUCUACCAAAGCUUAGGCCAUGCUCCUAUAUUCUACCUAAACUGAGCUUCUGGAGAUAGUGUUCUAUUUUUUGGACUUCUAGGAUAUCAAUAAACCACCAAACUGCACCAUAUAGCCUAUAACAGACCUCUUAGUAUUUGGACAUGCAGCGCAAUUUGAGUCACACCAACAAACAAACUCUGUAGUAGGUUGUUCCUGGAGCCAUAUACCUUGUCCUACAAUUUCGUUUAGAUAUCUUAUCACCCUGUUUGCUGCCUCCAAAUUUUAUUUUUUAGGUUGUUACAUGAACUGACUUACUAUUUGUACUUCAUAACUGAUAUCAAGUUUUGUUAUUCUUGCAUACAACAAUUUUCCAACAAGUCUUUGAUACGAUGUUAUAUCCCUUAGAAUAAUAUCUCCUUUAACACCUGCUGCUUCAUUCACUUUAACAAAGGUUAGCUUGAUAUUAAUAUCUAAUGGAGUAAGAUAUGGCUUAGCACCAACAAGCCCUAUGUCAGAUGUAAGCUCCAAUAUAUAUUUUCUUUGGUUCAAUAUUACUCUACUUGCAGACCUCAACACUUUAAUGCCUAAGAAGUCCUUAAGCUCACCUAGAUCCUUAAGUAUAAAUUGCUGAUGGAGAGUAACUUUUGUUGCAUUAAUCAUGUUUGUAUUAUCCCCUAUUAUUAGAAGAUCAUCUACAUAAACUAAAACCACCACCAUACCUUUUGACUUCUUUAAGGUAAAGCGUGAAUAAUCAUAUCUGCUCAGAGAGAAUGCUGUAUUGAGCAAUGCUGCAGUAGGCUUUAUAUUCCACUGCCUUGAUACUUGGUUAAGUCCAUACAAUGACUUGAUUAAUCUUCAAACUUUGAGUUACUUCCCUCCAAGAAACCAUCUGGCAUUUCCAUAUACACUUUCUCAUCUAAAUCACCUUGUAGAAAAGCAUUAUAGACAUCCAUUUGGUACAUACACCACCCUUUUGAUACAGCUAAAGUAAUAAAAUUUCUCACUAUAACCAUUUUUGCUAUGGGAGAGAAUGUGUCAUGGUAAUCUAGUCCCUCCUGUUGGCUGUAACCCUUGGCGACCAACCUUUCCUUAAACCUUUCUACUUCUCCAUUAGCAUUGUACUUGAUCUUGUAGACCCAUUUUGAUCCAAUUAUAUUCUUGUCCAGAGGAAUAUCAACUACCUCCUAAGUAUGAUUUUCUUCAAGAUCUUUAACCUUCUAUUUCAUAGCUUUAAUCCACCUCUUAUCUCCGCCAGCUUCAUUAUAAGAUUGUGGUUCUACUUUUGUUGAUAGACUGGACAUAAAACUUUGGUAUCUUGAACUAGUAUUAGCAUAAGAUAGAUAGUUUUCCAUAGGAUAUCUGGUUUCUCUUUUUCCCUAGUAAUGCAUAGUCCAACAACCAAACAAGUUGUUUGAUGACUCUAGAUGAUUUUCUUGGAGCAACUUCUGCAGGUGAUAAGGAUGGCUCAUCUUUGCUGGUGAAGUUAUGAGUGUCUUCAUCUUGGAUACUGUUAAGAUUAUGUGGUGAUGUACUUUUCUCUUGUGGAUCAUAUGAUUGAUUAUCAGGAUCUGUGUAAGUAUCUACUUCUAUUACUGCAUUAGUAUGAUAAGAUAAACUCAGCUUAAGGAAAUCAACAGUUGAUUCUGAGCUUGGGUACUCUACAA